This 689-nucleotide ribosomal RNA is filed under the name Phallus ravenelii. RNAcentral's name for it is "eukaryotic LSU rRNA". It matches the Rfam family "Eukaryotic large subunit ribosomal RNA", at positions 35 to 693 of the family's 3401-position model. Lineage: Eukaryota; Fungi; Basidiomycota; Agaricomycetes; Phallales; Phallaceae. The record is from RNAcentral.
UAAGCAUAUCAAUAAGCGGAGGAAAAGAAACUAACAAGGAUUCCCCUAGUAACGGCGAGUGAAGCGGGAACAGCUCAAAUUUGUAAUCUGGCGGCCUUCGGUCGUCCGAGUUGUAAUCUGGAGAAGCGUUUUCAGUGCCGGCCCGCGUACAAGUCCCCUGGAACGGGGCGUCGCAGAGGGUGAGAAUCCCGUCUCUGACGCGGUCGUGCCGGCACGUUGCGAUGCGCUCUCGAAGAGUCGAGUUGUUUGGGAAUGCAGCUCAAAACGGGUGGUAAAUUCCAUCUAAAGCUAAAUACUGGCGAAAGACCGAUAGCGAACAAGUACCGUGAGGGAAAGAUGAAAAGCACUUUGGAAAGAGAGUCAAACAGUACGUGAAAUUGUUGAAAGGGAAACGCUUGAAGUCAGUCGCGUCUCUCGGGACUCAGUCGCGCCGUCAAAGGCGCGGCGUACUUCCCGGGUCUGGACGGGCCAGCGUCGAUUUCGACCGUCGUACAAAGGCGUGAGGAACGUGGCACCUUCGGGUGUGUUAUAGCCUCGCGUCCCGUAUGCGACGGUGGGGAUCGAGGAUUGCAGCGCGCCGUUUUAACGGUCGGGGUUCGCCCACGUAACGCGCUUGGGAUGCUGGCUUAAUGGCUUCAAGCGACCCGUCUUGAAACACGGACCAAGGAGUCUAACAUGCUCGCGAGUGU